GGAGAGGUAGCAUAGUCCGGCCUAAUGCGCGCGCUUGGAGUGCGUGUGUACCGCGAGGUACCGUGGGUUCGAAUCCCACCCUCUCCG
Molecule: transfer RNA, 87 nt
Filed under: Candidatus Brevefilum sp.
Lineage: Bacteria; Bacillati; Chloroflexota; Anaerolineae; Anaerolineales; Anaerolineaceae
Also listed under: 4 other names
Description: tRNA-Ser
Rfam family: tRNA
About the family: Transfer RNA (tRNA) molecules are approximately 80 nucleotides in length. Their secondary structure includes four short double-helical elements and three loops (D, anti-codon, and T loops).
Source: RNAcentral